UUGCGGCUGGAUCACCUCCUUUCUAAGGAUGAACCCUAAUGGGAUGCCGUCUCGGCCUCUCCUUUUCGGUUCUCUUCAGAACAAGACGGAAGAAAGUCAUUCUUCACGUCGCGCAUACCUGAAAGCGGAUCUGCCGCCUUCGUUUCUCUUUCUUCGCGAAUGACCAACCCAUCCCUUUGGCAUGCGCCCUGGGGCGCCCGGCUCGGCCGGCUGCCGACUGGGUGUGGUUCAUGGGCUUGUAGCUCAGUUGGUUAGAGCGCGCGCUUGAUAAGCGUGAGGUCGGAGGUUCAAGUCCUCCCAGGCCCACCAUUCCUAUCCAGGUAUCAGGGGCCGUAGCUCAGCUGGGAGAGCACCUGCUUUGCAAGCAGGGGGUCGUCGG
Molecule: transfer RNA, 379 nt
Filed under: uncultured Bartonella sp.
Lineage: Bacteria; Pseudomonadati; Pseudomonadota; Alphaproteobacteria; Hyphomicrobiales; Bartonellaceae
Description: partial 16S-23S ribosomal RNA intergenic spacer
Rfam family: tRNA (bases 233-306)
Source: RNAcentral